Molecule: transfer RNA, 73 nt
Filed under: Chloroflexota bacterium
Lineage: Bacteria; Bacillati; Chloroflexota
Also listed under: 1 other name
Description: Chloroflexi bacterium (freshwater metagenome) tRNA-Thr
Rfam family: tRNA
About the family: Transfer RNA (tRNA) molecules are approximately 80 nucleotides in length.
Source: RNAcentral
GCCGACGUAGCUCAAUCGGCAGAGCAGCCGAUUUGUAAUCGGCAGGUUACGAGUUCGACUCUCGUCGUCGGCU